CUGCUUACAUGUUGCUCUGUGAGAAAGAGGGGGCGUUCCAGGCUGCCUACACAUUGCUCUGUGAGAAAGAGGGGGCUGCCUACACAUUGCUCUGUGAGAGGUUGCCUACACUUUGCACAGAUCAUUAAGUAAUUGAUGGGGUUCCUGCAAUGUUAAACACUACUCUCUUUCACAUUUGUAGCUAUCUUAGUUCAAUCAGAUCUGUAUCAACAUGUCUGUAAUGUAAACAACCUGGAAUGCCACCAGACUGUAGGCAGGUACCAAUACCAUCUACCACAAUGGACCAAGUAAAACAAUCCACUUGACAUACAGUAGAUCAUUAUAGUUCAUCUCAUACUGCAGAAUUACAGUAGAUUAUGGUUGUAUGAUAAAAUUACUUUAGAUUAAGGCAAUUAUUUUCCUCUACACGUUAUUCAUACUAUGCAUGUGUCACAUCAUGAUAAUAAGCCAAUCAGACUCUACGAUGCAUGUGUCACAUCAUGAUAAUAAGCCAAUCAGACCAUACUAUGCAUGUGUCACAUCAUGAUAAUAAGCCAAUCAGACUCUACGAUGCAUGUGUCACGUCAUGAUAAUAAGCCAAUCAGACUCUACGAUGCAUGUGUCACAUCAUGAUAAUAAGCCAAUCAGACAGAUGUAAAAUAAAUACAGAAGUUUUUUUUUUAUCAGUAAUGAGUCAGUACAGUAGUCCUAAGUUGUGAGAAUUGGAGACCUAGGAAACCAGACCAAUGCUGUGGGUCAAGUGGGACGAUAAGAGUGAAUGAGAUCAUGAGACGAAAGGGAAAUCUAAGCAAAUUAAAUAUUCCAACCAAAAUACAUGUGGUACUACCCAACAAACAUAAGUCCCUUUCAGACAAUCACAGUGCAUUAUGGGAACUGGUAUGCUGCUUACUUCACUGAUUGGUUGAUUGUUUUUCUCGGUAGGCAGCGCAUGCAAGGCAUAGUAGUGCUGGAAGCAUGAGUUAGUUAUAUCAGUGUAUUACAAGCAGAGGGGUGGGGAGAGGUAGCCUGCGUAUCACUGUUUCUGCUAUCAUACCACUCCUUUUCAUGCCAAUGCUUGACAAUGACACAGAGUACAACGAGUGGAAUGUCAGCACAAAACUAGGUCUGGAAUUCAGGCUAAGGGAGAGGGUGUAGUAGGUAGAACCAAGGUUAGGUGAGGGAGGUUUUAAAUGAGUGUUCAUUGAAUCUUUAUGAAGUAAAGAAAAUGGGGUCGGUUCUCAAACAAUACAUUAACUGUUUGAAAUAAUAGUGCACAAAACAUGUCAUUACAAAGCAAAGACAACAUUCUUCUUCGCAUGUUUUUUAUCCUUUGGAAGUUUGAAACAUUGAUUUGGUAUAGGAUAUUUAUGACAUAAAUCAGUGUUUCCCAACUCCAGUCCUCCAGUACCCACAACAGUACACAUUUCUAUUGUAGCCCUGGACAAGCACACCUGAUUCAACUUGUCAACUAAUCAUCAAGCCCUCGAUGAGCUGAAUCAGGUGUGUUUGUCCGGGGCUACAACGUGUGCUGUUGGGGGUACUGGAGGACCAGAGGAGGGAAACUGACAAAUGUUGGACCUGUCCUAAACUUUAUACAACACAGGAUAUCUACGUUUUAGUUUAAAACAUUUCCUUUUUUUAAUAUCAUAAAUAACAAUGAUCGUUCUUCAAAUAUUGUCUGAAUAAAUCAAAUAAAAACAUUAACUUGGCUUCCUUUUCCUUGUGGUGAAUAAGACUGCUACAAUCACAUGAUGAGGAAUGUCUGUCUGUAGUGAAUAAGACUGCUACAAUCACAUGAUAAGGACUGUCUGUCUGUA
Long non-coding RNA from Oncorhynchus tshawytscha (Chinook salmon), 1796 nucleotides. The record is from Ensembl. Lineage: Eukaryota; Metazoa; Chordata; Actinopteri; Salmoniformes; Salmonidae.